ACCCAUAUGGUGCAGUGGUUAGCAUAUUGGAUUUUCACUCCAAAGACCGGAGUUCAAACCUCCGUGUGGGUG
RNAcentral lists this transfer RNA (72 nucleotides) under Cytospora mali. RNAcentral's name for it is "tRNA-Glu (TTC) (tRNA-Glu-TTC-3-1)". It matches the Rfam family "tRNA". Rfam says of the family: Transfer RNA (tRNA) molecules are approximately 80 nucleotides in length. Their secondary structure includes four short double-helical elements and three loops (D, anti-codon, and T loops). The record is from RNAcentral. Lineage: Eukaryota; Fungi; Ascomycota; Sordariomycetes; Diaporthales; Cytosporaceae.